ACCGCGGCCGCCGGGCCAGUAGUACAUUUUUACAGAAAAAUACAAUUAUAGGGACUAGGAGGUUGUAAAAUGUAUACAUAAAUAACUUGUUUUGGCUGUUAAGCGUAUCUUUAGGCACGUAAAAAGUAAGUAAAUCGCUCUAGAAAUCUGAAGAAUGCUUACUCGGCAAAACCAUCAGUUGGGUUUGGAGAAGAAAUUUCAACGAAGACGUCUUGUGAGAACUUGAAGACAUGAGUAGACGAAAGUGCCUGGCAAAUCCCACUGAUGUGCUUUGUGCGUCUGAACAGAAACCACUGCAGUGAGGCUUGACAUGAUUAUUCCUCAUUCAUUGCCUGCCAGCCUGCCACCCUGCCCAGCCCUCACCCAAAAACAUCACAAGAUGAAGGUGAUCAGUUGCAGCAUUUGCAUAGUAUGAAGGAGUAACGCAACCAAGUGAUCAAUGUAUUCAAAAAGAGUAGAUGAGAGUGCCUGGCAAAUCCCACUGAUGUGCUUUGUGCGUCUGAACAGAAACCACUGCAGUGAGGCUUGACAUGGUUAUCCCUCAUUCAUUGCCUGGUAAUACAGUGGAGAAACGUUGUAAGACUGUCUGCCAGCCUGCCACUCUGCCCAGCCCUCACCCAAAGCAAUCACAAGAUCAAGAAUGAGCUCCUGCUGUUGACGGACAUCCACCAGGCUGUGCAGUGACUGCUGACCAAUAAGGGUUGAAAGGACGGGUAGAGGAGUGGAGGUGGACAUGGAGCCCUUUGUGUUCGACUUCGAAAUACAAGAGGACAUGGAGGACUUCUCGAAGGACUGCCAGGCCGUACUGGCAACAUGUGCCCACCCUAACACUCACACUUUCCCUAAAGUUUUGGUAUCAAGGUCUGUGUCUGGCAGUGCAAUGAACUUGCGCACACCUAGUGGUGUUGCGGUAAGCAACCACUUGGCCAACUGAAACAAAGAUGCGAGGCGAAUUAAUUGUUAUUACCAAAAUAUUGUCAGCAUUUCAGUGCAACAGUGUUUAGAUAAGUACCUAAUAAGCUAGUUGAGCCUGUGGGUUUGUAUUCGAUUUACAACGGCUAACACUCAUAAACAAACAAACACACACCCACCCACACACACACACACACACACACACUCCCAACAUUUCCUUUGACUCUCCCACACACUCCAAAACAACUCCAGUUGAGAAAAUGUUCUUUUCUAAUCUCACCAUUACGGUCUUCCUGGAUGAUAUCAGAAUAACAGCCACUCUUGGAAAUGUGUAGUAAAUGUUUUAUUUAUGUACACGUUUAUACUUCAGUUGUUUUCAUUUAGUAUUGUGUUUGCUUUCUUAUCUUAACAAAUAAGAUGCUUCAGAGGCUGAGA
This is a long non-coding RNA of Engraulis encrasicolus (European anchovy), 1347 nucleotides long. RefSeq lists it as uncharacterized. The transcript has 8 exons. The record is from RefSeq and is a predicted model, not a curated record. NCBI's taxonomy places the organism in Eukaryota, Metazoa, Chordata, Actinopteri, Clupeiformes, Engraulidae.